AGAGUUUGAUCCUGGCUCAGGACGAACGCUGGCGGCGUGCCUAAUACAUGCAAGUAGAACGCUGAAGAGAGGAGCUUGCUCUUCUUGGAUGAGUUGCGAACGGGUGAGUAACGCGUAGGUAACCUGCCUUGUAGCGGGGGAUAACUAUUGGAAACGAUAGCUAAUACCGCAUAACAAUGGAUGACACAUGUCAUUUAUUUGAAAGGGGCAAUUGUUCCACUACAAGAUGGACCUGCGUUGUAUUAGCCAGUAGGUGAGGUAAUGGCUCACCUAGGCGACGAUACAUAGCCGACCUGAGAGGGUGAUCGGCCACACUGGGACUGAGACACGGCCCAGACUCCUACGGGAGGCAGCAGUAGGGAAUCUUCGGCAAUGGGGGCAACCCUGACCGAGCAACGCCGCGUGAGUGAAGAAGGUUUUCGGAUCGUAAAGCUCUGUUGUAAGUCAAGAACGGGUGUGAGAGUGGAAAGUUCACACUGUGACGGUAGCUUACCAGAAAGGGACGGCUAACUACGUGCCAGCAGCCGCAGUAAUACGUAGGUCCCGAGCGUUGUCCGGAUUUAUUGGGCGUAAAGCGAGCGCAGGCGGUUUGAUAAGUCUGAAGUUAAAGGCUGUGGCUCAACCAUAGUUCGCUUUGGAAACUGUCAAACUUGAGUGCAGAAGGGGAGAGUGGAAUUCCAUGUGUAGCGGUGAAAUGCGUAGAUAUAUGGAGGAACACCGGUGGCGAAAGCGGCUCUCUGGUCUGUAACUGACGCUGAGGCUCGAAAGCGUGGGGAGCGAACAGGAUUAGAUACCCUGGUAGUCCACGCCGUAAACGAUGAGUGCUAGGUGUUGGAUCCUUUCCGGGAUUCAGUGCCGCAGCCAACGCAUUAAGCACUCCGCCUGGGGAGUACGACCGCAAGGUUGAAACUCAAAGGAAUUGACGGGGGCCCGCACAAGCGGUGGAGCAUGUGGUUUAAUUCGAAGCAACGCGAAGAACCUUACCAGGUCUUGACAUCCCGAUGCUAUUUCUAGAGAUAGAAAGUUACUUCGGUACAUCGGUGACAGGUGGUGCAUGGUUGUCGUCAGCUCGUGUCGUGAGAUGUUGGGUUAAGUCCCGCAACGAGCGCAACCCCUAUUGUUAGUUGCCAUCAUUCAGUUGGGCACUCUAGCGAGACUGCCGGUAAUAAACCGGAGGAAGGUGGGGAUGACGUCAAAUCAUCAUGCCCCUUAUGACCUGGGCUACACACGUGCUACAAUGGUUGGUACAACGAGUUGCGAGUCGGUGACGGCGAGCUAAUCUCUUAAAGCCAAUCUCAGUUCGGAUUGUAGGCUGCAACUCGCCUACAUGAAGUCGGAAUCGCUAGUAAUCGCGGAUCAGCACGCCGCGGUGAAUACGUUCCCGGGCCUUGUACACACCGCCCGUCACACCACGAGAGUUUGUAACACCCGAAGUCGGUGAGGUAACCUUUUGGAGCCAGCCGCCUAAGGUGGGACAGAUGAUUGGGGUGAAGUCGUAACAAGGUA
RNAcentral lists this ribosomal RNA (1506 nucleotides) under metagenome. RNAcentral describes it as "bacterial SSU rRNA". It matches the Rfam family "Bacterial small subunit ribosomal RNA". The record is from RNAcentral.